GAUGGACGCUGGCGGCGUGCUUAACACAUGCAAGUCGAACGGAAAGGCCACAGCUUGCUGUGGUACUCGAGUGGCGAACGGGUGAGUAACACGUGGGUGAUCUGCCCUGUACUUCGGGAUAAGCUUGGGAAACUGGGUCUAAUACCGGAUAGGAAUCACAUGUGGGUGUGUGGUUGGAAAGCUUUUGCGGUAUGGGAUGAGCUCGCGGCCUAUCAGCUUGUUGGUGGGGUAAUGGCCUACCAAGGCGUCGACGGGUAGCCGGCCUGAGAGGGUGUACGGCCACAUUGGGACUGAGAUACGGCCCAGACUCCUACGGGAGGCAGCAGUGGGGAAUAUUGCACAAUGGGCGCAAGCCUGAUGCAGCGACGCCGCGUGGGGGAUGACGGCCUUCGGGUUGUAAACUCCUUUCGUCAGGGACGAAGCGAAAGUGACGGUACCUGGAUAAGAAGCACCGGCUAACUACGUG
RNAcentral lists this ribosomal RNA (466 nucleotides) under uncultured bacterium. RNAcentral's name for it is "partial 16S ribosomal RNA". It matches the Rfam family "Bacterial small subunit ribosomal RNA", at positions 28 to 507 of the family's 1533-position model. The record is from RNAcentral.